This 434-nucleotide ribosomal RNA is filed under the name uncultured bacterium. RNAcentral describes it as "partial 16S ribosomal RNA". It matches the Rfam family "Bacterial small subunit ribosomal RNA", at positions 29 to 507 of the family's 1533-position model. The record is from RNAcentral.
AGCGAACGCUGGCGGCAGGCCUAACACUUGCAAGUCGAACGAACCUUUCGGGGUUAGUGGCGGACGGGUGAGUAACACGUGGGAACGUGCCUUUAGGUUCGGAAUAACUCAGGGAAACUUGUGCUAAUACCGAAUGUGCCCUUCGGGGGAAAGAUUAAUCGCCUUUAGAGCGGCCCGCGUCUGAUUAGCUAGUUGGUUGAGGUAAUGGCUCACCAAGGCGACGAUCAGUAGCUGGUCUGAGAGGAUGAUCAGCCACAUUGGGACUGAGACACGGCCCAAACUCCUACGGGAGGCAGCAGUGGGGAAUCUUGCGCAAUGGGCGAAAGCCUGACGCAGCCAUGCCGCGUGAAUGAUGAAGGUCUUAGGAUUGUAAAAUUCUUUCACCGGGGACGAUAAUGACGGUACCCGGAGAAGAAGCCCCGGCUAACUUCGUG